AACAACGGAUUCGAUAAAGAUCGUAAUACGCGAGCUUGGAAGCGGCCGGUCAACUGUCAACAGGUGGCUCUUACCUAACCCAAUUCACACUGUCAACGUCAAGGCAAAUUUAAACGUAAAUAUUGAAAAUUUAACGGUAUUGAAAUAUGGAAAAAUUACUGGUACUUCGCUCGAAAGGUAUGGUACGACCUUACUGCAACGAAUGUGAAUCCUUGGUGGACCUGGAACCUUUUUAUACCCAUCGCAGGAAUUUGGAUGCCGACGACUCACGAACAUCCUCGGAACCAAUCGUUGAAUAAAAAUGCAAUUGGGAAAACUUAAGGAAAAUAGAGUUUUUCCUCAUAAAAAUGGUGAAAACAGCGGGACAAAAGCUGGCCACAUGUGUACAAGAAAACCGGCUUUUUAGGAAAACCGCGGGAAACUGAAUCAUGAUUUAUAUUAUAUUUUGACACACCGGGCAUACCCCUUCAUUUAACAGGGCUUCCCAAGUUUUAGGCAUUUGUGGUUCUUUAUUAUCCUAAGAAUAACCAAGGGUGAAAACAGUAAGGCCAGAGACUACAACAUAGUUAACGGAGAACUAGGCAUAACCUAUAAGAAAUCAAACCUUUCCAGGAUACUAUCAAGCUAGCAACCUCUUUAAGUUGGUUUCUUUAUAAAUGUUUAGAAUUAUAAACCCCUCAUGACUCACAGGUAAAGCUUAAAAUGUAUCUUUUUGUUAUGUAAAUUAUAAAUUUAGAGGUUAAAAUGUUAACGGAGCACAACUAUCUAAGUUAUCUUAUAAAAGACUGCCUGGGCUUACCCUUAUUACUAUAAAAUAAAGACAAAAUCUUGUAACUUCGUUACAAGCUGAAAUUGGUAUUAAAACUGUUUAUAAUGCCACUGCCACACCCAGAGCAAAUGGACAGGUAGAACGAUACAACCGAACAAUUUUAUCAGCGUUGGCAGCGUCUGCUAAUAACGAAGAUGUUUGGGAUCAGAAUACUCCACAAAUUCAAUUUGAAAUUAAUGCUUGCAUUAACGAAACUACGGGGAAAAGUCCUCAUGAGUUACUUUUUGGGUAUAAGCCUAGAGGAGUCAAAGAUGCAUUUUUGACUAACGAAAUCUGUGACUUACAUGCAAAAAUCGAUGUUGCUAAAAAUCGGCAAGAAGCAGCCGAGUCUACUGAAAAAAGUCAGCAAAAACAAAAGACUCUUUUUGAUGCGAAAUGAAAAUCAGUUAGUUUUCAAGUUCAUGAUUUGGUCCUGCUUCAGAAAAAAAAUAUUAUCAGUGAUGUAAAAAGCAAAAAGCUGCUACCCAAAUAUGAUGGUCCAUACAGAAAAAAAAAGUCUUAGAUCAUGAUCGUCAUGUGGUAGAAGGUCUACCCAGAGAGGAUGGAUCGAAGAAACGCUAUGUUGGGAUUUGAGCAGUAGAUAAAAUGAAGACGUAUAAUAUCCAGCAAGAAGAUUUUGAGCUUUUACCCGAAGAUGACGGCAAAAAGUCGCCUUACGGCAAUACGUGCCAAGGUGAAAAGUCACCUACGGGCAAUACGUGCCCAGGCGAAGAGUCGCCUAAAGGCAAUACGUGCCAAGGUGAAAAGACACCUGAGGGUAAUACGUGCCCAUCGGGCGAAACGUCGUCCAAUGGCAAUACGUGCCAAAGCGAAAAGUCGCUUAACGGCAACACGUGCCAAGAUGUCACCAAAAACGUUGGUGUAAAACUAAAGAAAAAGUCCUCUAGAGUCUUAGACUCUUUUAGAAAUGUGGCAUCAGCUGGAAGAAAACCAGUACGUGAUCAAGGUAAAAGUACUUCGAUUGAAGAUGCUGAUUUCGGGAAGGAUCUAAAACUAAAGCUUAUUAAGAAACGUUCAGCGUAGAAUAAUUCUCGCUGGGUGAUUUUAGAAGACUAGUUUACUAAUAUUAUGUUAUUGUUCUAGGUUAACGGUUGCUGGAAGACAGCAAAUGACGUUUCGAGGCGAGACUUCGGUAGCAUUGGCCGACUAUAAGCAACUUUGGCGACGGCGGUUCACCGCCUUAUUAUUUGGUUUGAGGU
Molecule: long non-coding RNA, 2028 nt
Organism: Anthonomus grandis grandis
Lineage: Eukaryota; Metazoa; Arthropoda; Insecta; Coleoptera; Curculionidae
Exons: 3
Source: RefSeq, a predicted model, not a curated record